Molecule: ribosomal RNA, 427 nt
Filed under: uncultured Bacillus sp.
Lineage: Bacteria; Bacillati; Bacillota; Bacilli; Caryophanales; Bacillaceae
Description: bacterial SSU rRNA
Rfam family: Bacterial small subunit ribosomal RNA
Source: RNAcentral
AGUAGGGAAUCUUCCACAAUGGACGAAAGUCUGAUGGAGCAACGCCGCGUGAGCGAUGAAGGCCUUCGGGUCGUAAAGCUCUGUUGUUAGGGAAGAACAAGUACCGGAGUAACUGCCGGUACCUUGACGGUACCUAACCAGAAAGCCACGGCUAACUACGUGCCAGCAGCCGCGGUAAUACGUAGGUGGCAAGCGUUGUCCGGAAUUAUUGGGCGUAAAGCGCGCGCAGGCGGUCCUUUAAGUCUGAUGUGAAAGCCCACGGCUCAACCGUGGAGGGUCAUUGGAAACUGGAGGACUUGAGUGCAGAAGAGGAAAGCGGAAUUCCACGUGUAGCGGUGAAAUGCGUAGAGAUGUGGAGGAACACCAGUGGCGAAGGCGGCUUUCUGGUCUGUAACUGACGCUGAGGCGCGAAAGCGUGGGGAGCAAA